Molecule: ribosomal RNA, 404 nt
Filed under: uncultured bacterium
Lineage: Bacteria
Description: bacterial SSU rRNA
Rfam family: Bacterial small subunit ribosomal RNA
Source: RNAcentral
CGAGAACCUUACCUGGUCUUGACAUCCCUCUGAAAGCUCGAGUAAUGUUGAGCCCUCUUCGGACAGAGGAGACAGGUGGUGCAUGGUUGUCGUCAGCUCGUGUCGUGAGAUGUUGGGUUAAGUCCCGCAACGAGCGCAACCCUUACCUUUAGUAGCCAGCACGUAAUGGUGGGAACUCUAGAGGGACUGCCCGGGAUAACCGGGAGGAAGGUGGGGAUGACGUCAAAUCAUCAUGCCCCUUAUGACCAGGGCUACACACGUGCUACAAUGGCGUAAACAAAGAGAAGCGAGCCUGCGAAGGGGAGCAAAUCUCAAAAAUAACGUCUCAGUUCGGAUUGUAGUCUGCAACUCGACUACAUGAAGCUGAAUCGUAGUAAUCGCAGAUCAGAUGCUGCGGAAUGCUC